RNAcentral lists this ribosomal RNA (1345 nucleotides) under Fidelibacterota bacterium. RNAcentral's name for it is "partial 23S ribosomal RNA". It matches the Rfam family "Bacterial large subunit ribosomal RNA", at positions 1 to 1386 of the family's 2925-position model. The record is from RNAcentral. Lineage: Bacteria; Pseudomonadati; Fidelibacterota.
UGUAUGGUCAAGCGAGUAAGCGCAUACGGUGGAUGCCUUGGCAGUUGGAGGCGAUGAAGGACGUAGGAGCCUGCGAUAAGCUUCGGGGAGGUGGCAAACACCCUUUGAUCCGAAGAUUUCCGAAUGGGGAAACCCACCCGCCAUAAGGCGGGUAUCAUGCACUGAAUACAUAGGUGUAUGAAGCGAACCCGGAGAACUGAAACAUCUAAGUACCCGGAGGAAAAGAAAUCAACCGAGAUUCCCUCAGUAGCGGCGAGCGAACGGGGAGCAGCCUGCAAGUGAUAGCAGAAGUUAGUGGAACGGUCUGGAAAGUCCGGCGAUAGAGGGUGAUAGCCCCGUACACGAAAACUUCUCUGUGGUACUAAGCUUGCGACAAGUAGGUCGGGACACGAGUUAUCUUGACUGAACAUGGGGGGACCAUCCUCCAAGGCUAAAUACUACCAACUGACCGAUAGUGAACUAGUACCGUGAGGGAAAGGCGAAAAGAACCCCGGAGAGGGGAGUGAAAUAGAACCUGAAACCGUAUGCGUACAAGCAGUGGGAGCACCUUCGGGUGUGACUGCGUACCUUUUGUAUAAUGGGUCAGCGACUUAUUUUCUGUAGCAAGCUUAACCGUAUAGGGGAGGCGUAGGGAAACCGAGUCUUAAUAGGGCGCAUAGUUGCUGGGAAUAGACCCGAAACCAGGCGAUCUAUCCAUGGCCAGGUUGAAGGUGCCGUAACAGGCACUGGAGGACCGAACCCACUAACGUUGAAAAGUUAGGGGAUGAGCUGUGGAUCGGAGUGAAAGGCUAAUCAAGCCCGGAGAUAGCUGGUUCUCCUCGAAAUCUAUUUAGGUAGAGCGUCGUGUCUUACCCUGGGGGGUAGAGCACUGUUUCGGCUAGGGGGUCAUCCCGACUUACCAACCCGAUGCAAACUCCGAAUACCGAGGAGUGCAAUCAUGGCAGACAGACGGCGGGUGCUAACGUCCGUCGUCAAGAGGGAAACAACCCAGACCGCCAGCUAAGGUCCCAAAUAACAGUUAAGUGGGAAACGAUGUGGGAAGGCUUAGACAGCUAGGAGGUUGGCUUAGAAGCAGCCACCCUUUAAAGAAAGCGUAAUAGCUCACUAGUCGAGUCGGCCUGCGCGGAAGAUAUAACGGGGCUAAAACUGAUAACCGAAGCUGUGGAUGCGCACUUUAUGCGCAUGGUAGCGGAGCGUUCUGUAGGCCGUUGAAGGUGAAUCGUAAGGUUUGCUGGAGGUAUCAGAAGUGCGAAUGCUGACAUGAGUAACGAUAAGGGGGGUGAAAACCCCCCCCGCCGGAAGAUCAAGGUUUCCUGCGCAACGCUAAUCGGCGCAGGGUUAGUCG